UCGUGUCGUGAGAUGUUGGGUUAAGUCCCGCAACGAGCGCAACCCUUAUUGUUAGUUGCUACCAUUUAGUUGAGCACUCUAGCGAGACUGCCCGGGUUAACCGGGAGGAAGGUGGGGAUGACGUCAAAUCAUCAUGCCCCUUAUGUCUAGGGCUACACACGUGCUACAAUGGUCGGUACAAUGAGAUGCAACCUCGCGAGAGUGAGCAAAACUAUAAAACCGAUCUCAGUUCGGAUUGUAGGCUGAAACUCGCCUACAUGAAGCUGGAGUUGCUAGUAAUCGCGAAUCAGAAUGUCGCGGUGAAUACGUUCCCGGGCCUUGUACACACCGCCCGUCACACCAUGAGAGUUGGCAAUACCCAAAGUUCGUGAGCUAACGCGUAAGCGAGGCAGCGACCUAAGGUAGGGUCAGCGAUUGGGGUGAAGUCGUAACAAGGUAGCCGUAGGAGAACCUGCGGCUGGAUCACCUC
This 469-nucleotide ribosomal RNA is filed under the name uncultured bacterium. RNAcentral describes it as "bacterial SSU rRNA". It matches the Rfam family "Bacterial small subunit ribosomal RNA", at positions 1060 to 1529 of the family's 1533-position model. The record is from RNAcentral.